Molecule: long non-coding RNA, 617 nt
Organism: Papaver somniferum (opium poppy)
Lineage: Eukaryota; Viridiplantae; Streptophyta; Magnoliopsida; Ranunculales; Papaveraceae
Exons: 2
Source: RefSeq, a predicted model, not a curated record
GCUCAUUUCGUUUCCAAAAAUCAGCAGAACCGAAACCCUAACGUUAUUCUUCAACGAAGAGAUGAAGAAGCAAAUGUUUAGCAGCAGCAGCAGCAGAAGGAUUCCAGAAGAGAUUCACGUUGAAAUCCUUAUACGAUUGCCAGUGAAAUCCAUACUAAAAUUUCUGUGGUCGCAAUUCUACUAUUAAGGAAUGUCACUGGAUUGCUCCUAUGAGGGGUUAGGUGCUGUUUUGUUGUGAUGGUGCUGCUCUUGGUAACUCUGGUAGUGCUGGUUUUGGUGUCAUUGCAAGGAUCAUCUUUGUCAGGUUUUAGGGACUAUCACUGGUGGCAUUGCAAAGGUGAUGGCUGCAGUGAUUGCAAUUGAAUGGGCUGUCUUUUUGAGUUGCAGUCGCUUCAUUGUUAUAUCUGAUUCAAAACCUGUGCUGAAUGCUUGUAAGUUGCUGACUGAUACCACUGUUACAUGAAAGUAAACUUCUCUCUUGACUGUUCGCAAUGCUUUGCUUUAUUUUUUUUUUGCUUUUUCAUGUAAUGUUUGGUUUUUGCUGGCUUCUCGCUUUUUUGUUAGCUUUAAGCUGGCUUUUGAGUUGUUAUCCAGUAAAAUUGCGUGUUUAAACUGCU